UGGCGGCAGGCCUAACACAUGCAAGUCGAGCGCACCUUCGGGUGAGCGGCGGACGGGUUAGUAACGCGUGGGAACAUACCCUUCUCUAAGGAAUAGCCACUGGAAACGGUGAGUAAUACCUUAUACGCCCUUCGGGGGAAAGAUUUAUCGGAGAAGGAUUGGCCCGCGUUAGAUUAGAUAGUUGGUGGGGUAAUGGCCUACCAAGUCUACGAUCUAUAGCUGGUUUUAGAGGAUGAUCAGCAACACUGGGACUGAGACACGGCCCAGACUCCUACGGGAGGCAGCAGUGGGGAAUCUUAGACAAUGGGCGCAAGCCUGAUCUAGCCAUGCCGCGUGAGUGAUGAAGGCCUUAGGGUCGUAAAGCUCUUUCGCCAGGGAUGAUAAUGACAGUACCUGGUAAAGAAACCCCGGCUAACUCCGUGCCAGCAGCCGCGGUAAUACGGAGGGGGUUAGCGUUGUUCGGAAUUACUGGGCGUAAAGCGCACGUAGGCGGACUAUUAAGUGAGGGGUGAAAUCCCAGGGCUCAACCCUGGAACUGCCUCUCAUACUGGUAGUCUUGAGUUCGAGAGAGGUGAGUGGAAUUCCGAGUGUAGAGGUGAAAUUCGUAGAUAUUCGGAGGAACACCAGUGGCGAAGGCGGCUCACUGGCUCGAUACUGACGCUGAGGUGCGAAAGUGUGGGGAGCAAACAGGAUUA
RNAcentral lists this ribosomal RNA (695 nucleotides) under uncultured Ruegeria sp. RNAcentral describes it as "bacterial SSU rRNA". It matches the Rfam family "Bacterial small subunit ribosomal RNA", at positions 37 to 780 of the family's 1533-position model. The record is from RNAcentral. Lineage: Bacteria; Pseudomonadati; Pseudomonadota; Alphaproteobacteria; Rhodobacterales; Roseobacteraceae.